Molecule: ribosomal RNA, 524 nt
Filed under: uncultured bacterium
Lineage: Bacteria
Description: partial 16S ribosomal RNA
Rfam family: Bacterial small subunit ribosomal RNA
Source: RNAcentral
GAUGAACGCUGGCGGCGUGGAUAAGGCAUGCAAGUCGAACGAAGCUGUUUUAACUGGUGCUUGCACCGACUUAAACAACUGAGUGGCGAACGGGUGAGUAACACGUGGGUAACCUGCCCCAAAGCGGGGGAUAACAUUUGGAAACAGAUGCUAAUACCGCAUAACCACAGAAACCACAUGGUUUCUGUGUCAAAGAUGGUUUCGGCUAUCACUUUGGGAUGGACCCGCGGCGUAUUAGCUAGUUGGUAAGGUAAUGGCUUACCAAGGCAAUGAGACGUAGCCGAAAUGAGAGGUUGAUCGGCCACAUUGGGACUGGGACACGGCCCAAACUCCUACGGGAGGCAGCAGUAGGGAAUCUUCCACAAUGGACGAAGGUCUGAUGGAGCAACGCAGCGUGAGUGAAGAAGGUUUUCGGAUCGUAAAACUCUGUUGUCAGAGAAGAACGUGUGCGAGAGUAACUGUUCGUGCAGUGACGGUAUCUGGCCAGAAAGCCACGGCUAACUACGUGCCAGCCGCCGCCGUAA